AACGCACAUUGCGCCCUUUGGUAUUCCGAAGGGCAUGCCUGUUCGAGCGUCAUUAUCACCCCUCGAGCCCCCGGGCUUGGUGUUGGACGGUUUUGGUCGCGCCCCCUCCCGGGCGUCGACCCCUCCUAAAGACAAUGACGGCGGCCUCGUGGCGCCCCCGGUACAGUGAGCUUCUUGAGUGAGCACGUAUCGGCGUGUCGGGCGUCCGGGUCCCGGUCCUCUCCCCCCGUCGCGGGGGGAAAAACCUCUUUGGGUUUUUUUUCUCAACCAGGUUGACCUCGGAUCAGGUAGGAAUACCCGCUGAACUUAA
This 310-nucleotide unclassified non-coding RNA is filed under the name uncultured fungus. RNAcentral's name for it is "partial contains 5.8S ribosomal RNA, internal transcribed spacer 2, and large subunit ribosomal RNA". The stretch from base 1 to 52 matches the Rfam family "5.8S ribosomal RNA", at positions 103 to 154 of the family's 154-position model. The record is from RNAcentral. Lineage: Eukaryota; Fungi.